UCGUCCGCUUGUGCUUUGUUCAGUUAUUCAUAAUAAACCAUGUAUAUAAAUUAUAAGGUGCUUUUAAUGACAACAAUAUUAUUAUAUUAAGUAACCAAUACUGAAUUUUUAAUUAUAACAUACCAGAAAGAAAGAAGCUUUCCACUGGUUGUAAGUUUCUUAGGACAAAUGAGAAAUUAAACUGGCAUUUACGAAGAAAGGAAAUGAAAAUAAUCAGAAACGUAAAUAUAAAAGCAUUAACCAAGAAACUAAAAAACUUCCUACCAUGUUGAAAGUUCCUUAGUACAAAUGAAAAACUAAACUGGCAUAUCAUUUUAUGAGGAAAUAACAUGGAAUGAAUCAGAAAUGUAAAUAUAUAAGCAUUUAACCAAGAAACUAAAAAGCCUCCUACCAAGUUGAAAGUUCCUUAGUACAAAUGAAAAACUAAACUAGCAUAUUAUUUUAUUAGGAAAUGAUAUGAAAUGAGUCAGAAAUGUAAGUAUGUAAGCAUUUAACCAAGAAAAAACUGUUCACCAAGUUUUAAACUGUCAUGUUAUUUUAUGAGGAAAGGAAAUGAAAUGAAUCAGAAAAGUAAAUAUAAAAGCAUUUAACCAAAA
This is a long non-coding RNA of Aethina tumida (small hive beetle), 596 nucleotides long. RefSeq lists it as uncharacterized. The transcript has 5 exons. Lineage: Eukaryota; Metazoa; Arthropoda; Insecta; Coleoptera; Nitidulidae. The record is from RefSeq and is a predicted model, not a curated record.